GAAGGAUCCCCGUCAUUGUAACUGCAACACGUGUGGUGAAAUCUUCUGCCGUCACCGUCUGUGAAAUGUGGAGCUGCUGUGACCCCCACAGGAGAAAGGUGAGCGCUGACACCUGCGGAACCAAGAGGAGCCUCAGAGGGAAGCAGAACAAAGAUGGAGACUCACAAUCACAGAGUCGGAGAGAGAUUCACAUCGUAUUAGUGUCAAAAAUGGACAAAAGUUAGAGGCUGAACAUUUCACUUUCAGACAUUUGAACCUGGAACAUUUUCAGAGCCGCAGAAAGAUUAAGGGUUUCUCAGAACAAAAGCGAUGUAGAACAGAGGAGAAUUCAGCUGUAAUCUUCAGAAAGAGCUCCGUGUUCUCGUAUUUCUGUGAUUUCUUCAUCUGUCCUUCCCUUCUUCCUCUUCAUCUUUUUACCCAGAGCUCAUUCUUUUGUCGCUUCAUUGUUGUCUGUGUCUUAAAUAAAGGCUUUCACUUCUUUUCUCUGCUCUCUGAUUCAUGAUGACCACUAUAGUAAAUCGAUUUUUUUUUGUAAUUUAUUUGGGUUUCUUCUCAAUUGAACUCACUUUUCUCUCAUUUCGGUUUGAUUCCUGUGAUUAUAUGUUUGUCUUAAG
RNAcentral lists this long non-coding RNA (614 nucleotides) under Oryzias javanicus (javanese ricefish). Its description in RNAcentral is "lncRNA (ENSOJAG00000023600.1)". The record is from RNAcentral. Lineage: Eukaryota; Metazoa; Chordata; Actinopteri; Beloniformes; Adrianichthyidae.